This 489-nucleotide ribosomal RNA is filed under the name Bacillus sp. 1974BAB. Its description in RNAcentral is "bacterial SSU rRNA". It matches the Rfam family "Bacterial small subunit ribosomal RNA", at positions 16 to 485 of the family's 1533-position model. The record is from RNAcentral. Lineage: Bacteria; Bacillati; Bacillota; Bacilli; Caryophanales; Bacillaceae.
AUCCUGGCUCAGGGACGAACGCUGGCGGGGUGCCUAAUACAUGCAAGUCGAGGGGACCGAUGGGAGCUUGCUCCCUGAGGUUAGCGGCGGACGGGUGAGUAACACGUGGGUAACCUGCCUGUAAGACUGGAAUAACUCCGGGAAACCGGGGCUAAUACCGGAUGCUUGAUUGAACCGCAUGGUUCAAUCAUAAAAGAUGGCUUCGGCUAUCACUUACAGAUGGACCCGCGGCGCAUUAGCUAGUUGGUGAGGUAACGGCUCACCAAGGCGACGAUGCGUAGCCGACCUGAGAGGGUGAUCGGCCACACUGGGACUGAGACACGGCCCAGACUCCUACGGGAGGCAGCAGUAGGGAAUCUUCCGCAAUGGACGAAAGUCUGACGGAGCAACGCCGCGUGAGUGAUGAAGGUUUUCGGAUCGUAAAACUCUGUUGUUUAGGGAAGAACAAGUACCGUUCGAACAGGGCGGUACCUUGACGGUACCUAACCA